GGGUCAGUAGGUUGGUCGUGCCACCGGUACGUACUGGUCUCACUGAUUCCUCCUUCCUGAAGAACCGUAAUGCCAUUAAUUUGGUGUUGCGGGGAAACAGGACUGUUACUUUGAAAAAAUUAGAGUGUUUAAAGCAAGCUAACGCUUGAAUACAUUAGCAUGGAAUAAUGAAUUAGGACGAUCGAUCCUGUUUUGUUGGUUUCUAGGAUUGACGUA
Molecule: ribosomal RNA, 216 nt
Filed under: Glomeromycotina sp.
Lineage: Eukaryota; Fungi; Glomeromycota
Description: partial small subunit ribosomal RNA
Rfam family: Eukaryotic small subunit ribosomal RNA (bases 40-216)
Source: RNAcentral